CGUGGCCAUUAUAGAAACAAAAAAAUACCAUUUUCUAACCAAAGACAACUUUUUUUUUUAAUAUAAAUUAUGUCUAAUUAAUAUAAUUUUUUUUCAUUUAUGAGUGUUUUAUUUUAUUUUUUUUAUUAUGGGAAUAAAUGAUACAGAAAUAGUAUUGCAAUACAAGUCAUGUCAGUGUAAAUUUUAAUUUUUGUAAGAAUAUAAAGAAGGUAUCUUAAAAUAUAUAAAUAUUAACAAUAUAUUUCAUUCAAUGAUGAAUACUUAAAGCAUCGCUUUGAACUUCAUGACUCAAUUGUGUCUCAUCAUCUUCUCUGUGCCUGGAUGUAACAGGAAGUACCCUUGGAUCACUGGAUUUAAAAUCUGCAGUGGUUACAUGCCGCGUUUGAUCUUCUGUACACUUUACAUCAAGUGUGAAUUCCACGCUACACUCUGGACAGAAAUCCAUGCAUUGGCAGUCCCUUGUAUAUUGUAUCCUAUCAACAACCUAAAUAAUUUUAAUAUCAACUUUCCGUUUUCGUUAAAAAAUCUUAAAUAUAUUGAAGUAUUGAUUUUUAAUUAUUUACAUCAUCACUUAUCAAUGGUAUCAUUCCGAUCCUAUGUGCUAAAAAUUCAUCGCUCAACACGGUUGAAUUGGCUUCUAAUUGCACCCAAUCAAUGGCCAUAGUAGGUGUCUCGGCAAUAAAGACGCGUCUCAUACUAUUUGCUACACUAUAAAAAUUAAAAGUUUAAUAAA
RNAcentral lists this unclassified non-coding RNA (733 nucleotides) under Bombus terrestris (buff-tailed bumblebee). Its description in RNAcentral is "misc RNA ENSBTSG00005035281.1". The record is from RNAcentral. Lineage: Eukaryota; Metazoa; Arthropoda; Insecta; Hymenoptera; Apidae.